RNAcentral lists this ribosomal RNA (684 nucleotides) under uncultured bacterium. RNAcentral describes it as "bacterial SSU rRNA". It matches the Rfam family "Bacterial small subunit ribosomal RNA", at positions 195 to 882 of the family's 1533-position model. The record is from RNAcentral.
AGAGAUUUAAAGAUUUAUCGGUGAUGGAUGGGGAUGCGUCUGAUUAGCUUGUUGGCGGGGUAACGGCCCACCAAGGCGACGAUCAGUAGGGGUUCUGAGAGGAAGGUCCCCCACAUUGGAACUGAGACACGGUCCAAACUCCUACGGGAGGCAGCAGUGAGGAAUAUUGGUCAAUGGGCGAGAGCCUGAACCAGCCAAGUAGCGUGCAGGAUGACGGCCCUAUGGGUUGUAAACUGCUUUUAUAAGGGAAUAAAGUGAGCCUCGUGAGGCUUUUUGCAUGUACCUUAUGAAUAAGGACCGGCUAAUUCCGUGCCAGCAGCCGCGGUAAUACGGAAGGUCCGGGCGUUAUCCGGAUUUAUUGGGUUUAAAGGGAGCGUAGGCCGGAGAUUAAGCGUGUUGUGAAAUGUAGAUGCUCAACAUCUGCACUGCAGCGCGAACUGGUUUCCUUGAGUACGCACAAAGUGGGCGGAAUUCGUGGUGUAGCGGUGAAAUGCUUAGAUAUCACGAAGAACUCCGAUUGCGAAGGCAGCUCACUGGAGCGCAACUGACGCUGAAGCUCGAAAGUGCGGGUAUCGAACAGGAUUAGAUACCCUGGUAGUCCGCACGGUAAACGAUGGAUGCCCGCUGUUGGUCUGAAUAGGUCAGCGGCCAAGCGAAAGCAUUAAGCAUCCCACCUGGGGAGUA